This 155-nucleotide unclassified non-coding RNA is filed under the name uncultured Chaetomium. RNAcentral describes it as "sequence contains ITS2". Lineage: Eukaryota; Fungi; Ascomycota; Sordariomycetes; Sordariales; Chaetomiaceae. The record is from RNAcentral.
CAACCAUCAAGCCCCCGGGGCUUGCGCUGGGGCACCGCGGCCGCCGCGGUCCCUGAAAACCAGUGGCGGGCUCGCUGUCACUCCGGGCGCAGUACUAUAUCUCGCUCUGGUUGUGCGGUGGAUGCCGGCCGUUAAACACCCCCCCUUCAUACCAA